CCUACGGGGGGCAGCAGUGGGGAAUAUUGCACAAUGGGGGAAACCCUGAUGCAGCGACGCCGCGUGAGCGAUGAAGUAUUUCGGUAUGUAAAGCUCUAUCAGCAGGGAAGAAGAUGACGGUACCUGACUAAGAAGCCCCGGCUAACUACGUGCCAGCAGCCGGGGGAAUACGUAGGGGGCAAACGUUAUCCGGAUUUACUGGGUGUAAAGGGAGCGUAGACGGCGAUGCAAGCCAGAUGGGAAAGCCCGGGGCUCAACCCCGGGACUGCAUUUGGAACUGUGGGGCUGGAGUGUGGGAGAGGCAGGCGGAAUUCCUAGUGUAGCGGUGAAAUGCGUAGAUAUUAGGAAGAACACCAGGGGCGAAGGCGGCCUGCUGGACGAUGACUGACGUUGAGGCUCGAAAGCGUGGGGAGCAAACAGGAUUAGAUACCCCUGUAGUC
Molecule: ribosomal RNA, 440 nt
Filed under: uncultured bacterium
Lineage: Bacteria
Description: partial 16S ribosomal RNA
Rfam family: Bacterial small subunit ribosomal RNA
Source: RNAcentral